Molecule: non-coding RNA, 526 nt
Organism: Danio rerio (zebrafish)
Lineage: Eukaryota; Metazoa; Chordata; Actinopteri; Cypriniformes; Danionidae
Source: RefSeq, a predicted model, not a curated record
UCCCUCUUCAGGGUUUAUAAGCACAGCUGUUGCCAUGACGAUUCUAUUUCCCACAGAUAUGCUGGAACAACGUCUCCGGUCACGGAAACAAUCUCCGUGCUUUUUCAAUUGGGCAGCGAAUGUGUCGGUUCGACAAGAGUAUCUCAGUGGGACGGCUGAGUGCUUCCUGAACACAAAAACAUCUUUUGGAAAGCAAGGAGGCAUGGCUUUGGAUGGAUAUUUGAAGACAUACAAAGCAUUCCAUUCAGAAGGGCUCAUCCCUAUGCCUUAAUCCCUUCGAAGGAUUGACCCUCCGAAGUGAUGGCUUCGAAGGGAUGAAGGGUGUUGGGGUCAAAACACACUUCUGCAUCAUCUUAAUGAGAGGAGAUGUGGUCUGGCACGACUCACAAACACUUCCUAACUCAAGAGUUUGGCCAUGCUGUAUUCAGAGGAACCCAGAGAGCCCCAGGCCUUUAAACAUGACACACUUCCACAUCAUUCAGCUCACAUCUGCUACUCUGUGACCCCAAAUGCAUGGUAAACUUUU